Molecule: unclassified non-coding RNA, 494 nt
Filed under: Hevea brasiliensis (rubber tree)
Lineage: Eukaryota; Viridiplantae; Streptophyta; Magnoliopsida; Malpighiales; Euphorbiaceae
Source: RNAcentral
GGGAUUUGCAGCAUUCCUUUUCUUCUGUGGUUUAUAUGAUGUCCUUUAUGGUAAACGUCAGUACUUCGUCUACGUGUUUCUCCAAGUCAUAACGUUUACCAUUGCUGGAUUCGGCUACAUUGGAACGAUAGUCCCCUCUUAGCAGAGGACCAGCACCAGCACCAGCACCAGAAAACAACAACAUUGUUUAUUUCGUCGUCUACACAGAUAUAUAAGUUAUAUGCAGAACAUUGAACCAGAAAAAAAAAAUAGUAGAUGGAUUAGCAAAUAGAUAGUUUUUCAUAUUUUUCUCUCUUGUUAGAGUGCUGUUUUUAGCUGUGUGAAAUUAUAUUUUGAUUGAACUUGUAAGUUAUUUUUUUUUGGUAUUUUUGCAUCUCUUCAGAUUUCUAGAAAAAUGGCAAACAAUGGCCAAAUUCUGUAAUCAGUUUUUUUUCUUUUUCUUUUUUGGCAUUCUUUUACUUUGAUCAUGGAUGUAUUAUUAUCAAGACUCUUUC